GGCAGAUCCAAAACCACAUUAGACAAAGAAUCCUAUCUCUAUUGAUCUUAAAACACACCUCUGGGUGACCUCAAAUGGAUGAGGAUCCGUUUGAGAAUAGGUCCAAGAGUGCAAUGUGACUGCUCUAGGUCUGCAGUCUAGAAAAUCUUUUGAAAAGAAAACUCUCAACUAUGAGAACAUCUGACAGUGUCCUUCCAUUAUUUUCCAGAGAUCUAUCCAGGCAUUCCUAGUUCUCAUGUGAGUCUGAAUCUCAGAAGAUACCUACUUAAAAUCCAUCCUGAGACAGAAAAUAAAUGUCUCCUAUUGCAGGUUUUCAGAAGCAGACCUUUCCAUGCCUCUCACUUGUCCAAUCAAGCCUGAUCCCUUUCCAACCUUGAUUUUGAGUGUGAAGAAACUUACCCACAGGGAUAGUCCUGCCCUGGAUUUUAUCAGCCCAUCCAGCAUAAUAUCGGAGUGUCUUUAUACAACCUUCCAGGUCAAUGAAAUAAGCCUGCAGAAAAGGUUUUCCCGUGUCCAUUGUUUCUAAAGUUGCCAGGAUGACUCUGUCUCGCUCUAGAAGAUCAGCCAGUUUGUGUAGGAGCCGUCCCCUGCUUAAGGCAUCCAUUUGUCUCCACUGAGACCCUCUCUGGAAUGCUGCCUUUGCUGCUUCCACUGCAUUAUCCACAUCAGGCUUGUCUCCUUCCUCAAUAUCACAGAUUUUCUCUAGCGUCGAGGGAUUGUAGGUAGGGAACUUCUUUCCACUGGUAGACUCGUGCCAUUCAUUGUUUAUAAAUAUCUUGGUGUACUUCACCUCCAAACCCCUCAGAGGCCGUGGCAGCGGCGGCCCCUUCUUGUCAGGCGGCCCGUUCUCCACAGCACCGUUGACCGCGGCCAUACCCACCCCGUCGAGCCCAGACCCCA
RNAcentral lists this long non-coding RNA (900 nucleotides) under Gallus gallus (chicken). The record is from RNAcentral. Lineage: Eukaryota; Metazoa; Chordata; Aves; Galliformes; Phasianidae.